CUAUCUAUCAUCUAUCUCUCUGUUAUCUAUCUAUCUGUCAUCUAUCUAUCUAUCUAUCUAUCUAUCUUAGUUUUAUGUUGAUUUAAUAGAACACCACAGAGUGUGUAAUCCAUGAUGAAUAGAAAUUUAUUUGGCUCACAAUUGUGGAGGCUGGGAAGCCCAAGGGAAUGGCACCAGCAUCUGGUGAAGGUCUUGGUGCAAAAUGACAGAAGGCAGAAGGGCAAGAGAGUGCAAAAGCAAGCAAGCAAGACAGGGCUGAACUCACUUUUAUAAUAACUCACUCUCAUAACAAAUCCACUUUCUUAAUGUCCCACCUCCUGAUACUGUCACAAUGGCAAUUAAAUUUCAACAUGAGUUUUGGAGGAGACAUUCAAGCAAUAUUAUUUUACCCCUUGUCCCCCAUGACUCAUGUUCUUUUCACAUACAAAAUACAUUCAUUCCAUCCCAAUGCCCCAAAACUCUUAACUUAUUCCAACAACUCAAAAGUUCAAAAUCCAGAGCCUCAUCUAACUCAGAUGUGGAUGAGAUCAAGACACAAUUCAUCCUGAGGCAAAUUCCUCUCCAGCUGUGAGCUUGUGAAAUUAACAAACUACGUGCUUCCAAAAUACAAUGGUGGGGUAGGCAUAGGAUAGAUAUUCCAAAAGGGGGAAAUAGGCAAGAAAAAAAAGUAACAGGCCCGA
RNAcentral lists this long non-coding RNA (680 nucleotides) under Homo sapiens (human). Its description in RNAcentral is "HSALNT0316385". Lineage: Eukaryota; Metazoa; Chordata; Mammalia; Primates; Hominidae. The record is from RNAcentral.